Molecule: ribosomal RNA, 253 nt
Filed under: uncultured bacterium
Lineage: Bacteria
Description: partial 16S ribosomal RNA
Rfam family: Bacterial small subunit ribosomal RNA
Source: RNAcentral
UACGUAGGGGGCAAGCGUUGUCCGGAUUUAUUGGGCGUAAAGAGCGUGUAGGCGGUUUGGUAGGUCCGCUGUGAAAACUCGAGGCUCAACCUCGAGACGCCGGUGGAAACCAUCAGGCUAGAGUCCGGAAGAGGAGAGUGGAAUUCCUGGUGUAGCGGUGAAAUGCGCAGAUAUCAGGAAGAACACCCGUGGCGAAGGCGGCUCUCUAGUACGGUACUGACGCUGAGACGCGAAAGCGUGGGGAGCGAACAGG